AUUGAACGCUGGCGGCAUGCUUUACACAUGCAAGUCGAACGGUAACAGGCCUUCGGGUGCUGACGAGUAGCGCACGGGUGAGUAAUGCAUCGGAACGUACCCAGAGGUGGGGAUAACGCAGCGAAAGCUGUGCUAAUACCGCCUGUGAUCUGAGGAUGAACGCGGGGGACCGAGCAGCAAUGUUUGGCCUCGCGCCUUUGGAGCGGCCGAUGUCGGAUUAGCGAGUGGGUGGGGUAAAGGCCUACCAAGGCGACGAUCCGUAGCUGGUCUGAGAGGACGACGAGCCACACCUGAACGGAGACACGGCCAAGACUCCUACGGGAGGCAGCAGUGACGAAUACUGGAGGAUGGGCGCAAGACUGUUCGAGCAAUGCCGCGUGCGGGAAGAAGGCCUUCGGGUUGUAAAACGCUUUUGGCAGGAACGAAACGGUGUCCGCUAAUACCGGGCGCUAAUGACGGUACCUGCAGAAUAAGCACCGGCUAACUACGUG
Molecule: ribosomal RNA, 491 nt
Filed under: uncultured bacterium
Lineage: Bacteria
Description: partial 16S ribosomal RNA
Rfam family: Bacterial small subunit ribosomal RNA
Source: RNAcentral